AUACUUACCUGGAUGGGGUCUAUGGCUCAUCAAGAAGAGUCAUGGCCUAGACUAGUGGCCUCCAUUGCACUUGGGAGGAGCAUUAGUUUACCAUCUCCUCAAGUAGGAGAGUGGACAUCAUAAUUUGUGCUAGAGGGGAUACGCGUCCGCGCGGUCCCUAC
Non-coding RNA from Zea mays, 161 nucleotides. Lineage: Eukaryota; Viridiplantae; Streptophyta; Magnoliopsida; Poales; Poaceae. The record is from Rfam.